Paramormyrops kingsleyae is the source of this 355-nucleotide non-coding RNA. The record is from RefSeq and is a predicted model, not a curated record. NCBI's taxonomy places the organism in Eukaryota, Metazoa, Chordata, Actinopteri, Osteoglossiformes, Mormyridae.
CGUCUCGUGAAACCGCAUCUUUCCGGCCGGCGGAGGCUCGGGUCGGAUUUCGGCGUCUGCUGGGUCGCCAAUUCACACAGAGAACCGGCCGAAUAAAAAAUGUAUGAGCGCAACGCAGACGUGCCCUACUUGGUUCUAAUUUUCCGCUGCCUGCUGCAGCAGAGUCCUCCUUCUCCUUUUCGUCAUCGGAGCCCUGAAGAACAGAGACAAGGGCCCAAAAUGAAUGACAGGCUGCAGAUUCUGGAUUCCGGCGAGCAGCCCCUUUUGGGAGAGGGGUCCAGGUCUCUCCGUCCAGGCUGCUUACUGGAGCCGAGAUUUUUGGUGUCCCCUCAUUCCAGCCCCGGCCAUUAACAGC